AGGAUAAACGCUGGCGGCGUGCAUAACACAUGCAAGUCGAACGAUGAAACUUAAAUGAUUUCUUCGGAAUGAACUUAAGUGGAUUAGUGGCGAACGGGUGAGUAACACGUGAGUAACCUGCCUUACACAAGGGGAUAGCCUCUGGAAACGGAGAAUAAUACCCUAUAAAGUCUAAUCAGCCCAUGCUGGAAAGACCAAAGAUUUAUCGGUGUAAGAUGGACUUGCGUCUGAUUAGCUAGUUGGUGAGAUAAAAGCUCACCAAGGCGACGAUCAGUAGCCGGCUUGAGAGAGUGUACGGCCACAUUGGGACUGAGACACGGCCCAAACUCCUACGGGAGGCAGCAGUGGGGAAUUUUGCACAAUGGGGGAAACCCUGAUGCAGCGACGCCGCGUGAUUUAGAAGGCCUUCGGGUUGUAAAAAUCUUUUUUACGGGAUGAAAAUGACAGUACCGUAAGAAUAAGGUCCGGCUAAAUACGUGCCAGCAGCCGCGGUAAUACGUAUGGACCGAGCGUUGUCCGGAAUCAUUGGGCGUAAAGGGUACGUAGGCGGCCUAGUAAGUUAGAAGUUAAAGAAUAUAGCUCAACUAUAUAAAGCUUUUAAAACUGCUAGGCUUGAGAGAUGGAAGGGAAAGUGGAAUUCCUAGUGUAGCGGUGAAAUGCGCAGAUAUUAGGAAGAAUACCGGUGGCGAAGGCGACUUUCUGGUCAUCAUCUGACGCUGAGGUACGAAAGCGUGGGUAGCAAACAGGAUUAGAUACCCUGGUAGUCCACGCUGUAAACGAUGAGUGUUAGGUUCUUGGAAUAAUCUGGGAGCCGCAGCUAACGCAUUAAACACUCCGCCUGGGGAGUACGCACGCAAGUGUG
This 862-nucleotide ribosomal RNA is filed under the name uncultured Clostridia bacterium. RNAcentral's name for it is "bacterial SSU rRNA". It matches the Rfam family "Bacterial small subunit ribosomal RNA", at positions 26 to 896 of the family's 1533-position model. Lineage: Bacteria; Bacillati; Bacillota; Clostridia. The record is from RNAcentral.